This 253-nucleotide ribosomal RNA is filed under the name Pseudomonas aeruginosa. RNAcentral's name for it is "partial 16S ribosomal RNA". It matches the Rfam family "Bacterial small subunit ribosomal RNA", at positions 1281 to 1533 of the family's 1533-position model. The record is from RNAcentral. Lineage: Bacteria; Pseudomonadati; Pseudomonadota; Gammaproteobacteria; Pseudomonadales; Pseudomonadaceae.
ACCGAUCGUAGUCCGGAUCGCAGUCUGCAACUCGACUGCGUGAAGUCGGAAUCGCUAGUAAUCGUGAAUCAGAAUGUCACGGUGAAUACGUUCCCGGGCCUUGUACACACCGCCCGUCACACCAUGGGAGUGGGUUGCUCCAGAAGUAGCUAGUCUAACCGCAAGGGGGACGGUUACCACGGAGUGAUUCAUGACUGGGGUGAAGUCGUAACAAGGUAGCCGUAGGGGAACCUGCGGCUGGAUCACCUCCUUA